ACAGGCGUCUCUCUGAAACUCCUGUGGACCUCCAUACCAGAGGGGGAGCUAGAGAGCAUCAUCCCUCUACUCAGCCAUGUCUCCCAUCUCAGGGUUAACAGGAGGUUGUUGUUGAGGCUGCUCCACUGUGCGAUGUUCCUGAGCUCCACCAGGAGGCAGCAGUUCUGCUCUCUGCUCUACACCACAAGCUGGACUUGUCCUGCUAUGACGCUCUGGACCUCACGGCAGACACGAGUCUGUAUCUGAGCAGAGAGGACUGUAGAGUCGUCUCCACAGCUAUCCAGAGAGCUCACACAAAUGUCCAGGUCAAUCUCCAGGACUGUGAGAUUGAGAAUGACUCGGGAGUAGAGUUGCUCUUUUCUGUUCUACACACAGUCUCACUACGAAGCAGUAAAGCUCUGCUGCUUUACUUCCUUAACGUCAUGGACGUGGGCGCCGAGACGGAGCGCAUCAGGAGAGCAGCAGUUCUGUCCCUGGCUGU
Clarias gariepinus (North African catfish) is the source of this 481-nucleotide long non-coding RNA. RefSeq lists it as uncharacterized. NCBI's taxonomy places the organism in Eukaryota, Metazoa, Chordata, Actinopteri, Siluriformes, Clariidae. The transcript is spliced from 3 exons. The record is from RefSeq and is a predicted model, not a curated record.